RNAcentral lists this ribosomal RNA (2733 nucleotides) under Brassica rapa (field mustard). RNAcentral describes it as "eukaryotic LSU rRNA". It matches the Rfam family "Eukaryotic large subunit ribosomal RNA". Lineage: Eukaryota; Viridiplantae; Streptophyta; Magnoliopsida; Brassicales; Brassicaceae. The record is from RNAcentral.
GUUCAGAUCAGUCGAAGUUCUCGCUCGAUACUCCACCGGAAGUCCGAAGAACUGUCCAAGAGCUAAAGGAGGUUCUGUCCAGAUCAGGCCGUCCAGACCUGUUAGUGUCUUCAUGAUCGCCGAGGGUCUGUCCAAGUCGAGGUCAGUUCAGUCCAGUCCAGUCAAGGCGUCCCUUUGGGUUUUGGCCAAGUCCUCUCCGAUCAACCAGCUUGUUUGGAAUGCAGCCCCAAUGUCAGGCGACAAGAAUCCGUCCAAAGGCUAAAUAUGGGCGAGGAACCGAUGCGCGAACAAAACACCGCGUAGAAUGAAAAGGACUUUGAAAAAGAAGUGAAAUUCUGCUUGAAAUUGUGGGAGAAGCGGAUAGGGGCAGCGAUGCGUCCUGGUCGGAUCGCGAGCGAACAAUCCGGUCCACGCCCGAUCGAUUAGGCGUGGGCGUCGGGUUCGUGAAGUGACCUAAGCGGGCUUCGUUAAGCCAGCAGGAGAGCAUGCUUCCAUAUCGUGAGUACGCUCUGUAGCGCCUCACGGCGUUACCUCACGGCAUCGUGCUGCGUCGACUGUGAGCACUCCCAUUGAUCUUGAAACCACGGACCAGAGUCUGACGUAAUGCGGUCAGCGGGUGGUAACCCGUAGAGCAAAACUGAUUGGCUGGAUCCUCGCGGGUGCCACGGUAGGCCAUUAUGAUCGCUUGCGAAGGGCCGAAUUGUGACGUACGCAGCCGGGUCAGUGAAGUGCGGUUGGUGGGUUAUUAAUAAAACCGACGUUAUCGAAACAAGAUUUACGGUGCUUAACUGCGCUAACCUAGAACCCACAAAAGGGUAUUUGGUGAUUAAGACAGGGGCCGGUGGUCGUGAAAUGGAAGGUGGUAACAACUCACCUGCGACAACUAAAAUGGAUGGCGCUGAAGCCGUCGGGGCAAGAGCCAGGCCUCGAUGAGUAGGAGAAGGCGGGUCUGAUAAUCGCUUAUCUUGAACGAAAGGGAUCGGUUAAAAUUCGGAACGGGGCGUGGCGGUUGGCCGACGGCAGCGUUAGGGAGUCGGAGGCGUCGGCGAAUUCGGAAAAGAGUUAUCUUUUCUGUUUAACAGCCUGCCCACCCUGGAAGCGGCUCAGCCGGAGGUAGAGUCCAGCGGCUGGAAGAAACCGCCGUCGCGUGGUGUCGGUGCAUUCCGGCGACCUUGAAAAUCCGGAGGACCAGUGCAGCUCCGCGCCGGUCGUUACUCAUAACAUCAGGUCUCCAAGGUGAACAGCCUCUGGUCGAUGGAACAAUGUAGGCAAAGGGAAAUUCGGCAAAAUGGAUCCGUAACCCGGAAAAGGAUUGGCUCGAGGGCUGGGCUCGGGGGGUCCCAGUUCGAACCCGUCGACUGUUGGCGGGCUGCUUGAGCUGCUAGCGUGGCGAAGCGGACCGCCUCGUGUCGUCGGCGGGGCGGACUGGGAGCGGCUCUUUAGGAGCUUUCCCGGGCGUCGAACAACCAACUUCGAGAACUGAAUGCGGACAAGGGAAUCCGACUGUUUAAUUAAAACAAAGCAUUGCGAUGGUCCUGCGGAUGCUAGCAUAAUGUGAUUUCUGCCCGGUGCUCUGAAUGUCAAAGUGAAGAAAUUCAACCAAAGCGGCGAAUUAAGCGGCGGGAGUAACUAUGACUCUCUUAAGGUAGCCAAAUGCCUGCGUCAUCUAAUUAGUGGCGCAUGAAUGGAUUAACGAGAUUCCCACUGUCCUGUCUACUAUCCAGCGAAACCACAGCCAAGGGAGCGGGCUUGGCAGAAUCAGCGGGGAAAGAAGACCCUGUUGAGCUUGACUCUAGUCCGACUUUGUGAAAUGACUUGAGAGGUGUAGAAUAAGUGGGAGCUCGGCAAAGUGAAAUACCACUACUUUUAACGUUAUUUUACUUACUCCCCGUGAAUCGGGAUGGGGUAACAACCCUUCUUUUAGACCAAGACUAAACCCGGUGGUUCGAUCGAGCGGAGGACAUUGUCAGGUGGGGAGUUUGGCUGGGGCGGCACAUCUGUUAAAAGAUAGCGCAGGUGUCUAAGAUGAGCUCAGCGAGAACAGAAAUCUCGUGUGGAACAAAGGGUAAAAGCUUCGUUUGAUUCUGAUUUUCAAUGCGAAUCUGAACCGUGGCGUGGCCUAUCGAUCCUUUAGACCUUGAAUUUGAAGCUAGAGGUGUCAGAAAAGUUACCACAGGGGGAUAACUGGCUUGUGGCAAUAAGCGUUCAUAGCGGCGUUGCUUUUGAUCCUUCCGAUGUCGGCUCUUCCUAUCAUUGUGAAGCAGAAUUCACCAAGUGUUGGAUUGUUCACCCACCAAUAGGGAGCGUGAGCUGGGUUUAGACCGUCGUGAGACAGGUUAGUUUUACCCUACUGAUGCCCGCGUCGCAAUAGUAAUUCAACCUGAUGCGAGAGGAACCGUUGAUUAAGCCAAUUGGUCAUCAUCGGCAGUUGAAAAAGCCAGUGGCCUGAAGCUACCGUCGCUGGAUUAUGACUGAGCGCCUCUAAAGUCAGAAUCCGGGCUAGAAGCGGCGCAUCGCCCGCCGCCCGAUUGCCGACCCUCGGUAGGAGCCCGGCUCCCAAAGGCGCGUGUCGUUGGCUAAGUCCGUUCGAUUGGAAGCGCCGUUCGGACCGCCUUGAAUUAUAAUUACCACCGGUGGUGGUAGAAUCCUUUGCAGGCGACUUAAAUCUGCGGGGGGGUAUUGUAAGUGGCAGAGUGGCCUUGCUGCCACGAUCCACUGAAUUCAGCCCUUUGU